GAUGAACGCUGGCGGCGUGCCUAAUACAUGCAAGUCGAGCGAACGGACGAGAAGCUUGCUUUUCUGAUGUUAGCGGCGGACGGGUGAGUAACACGUGGAUAACCUACCUAUAAGACUGGGAUGACUUCGGGAAACCGGAGCUAAUACCGGAUAAUAUUUUGAACCGCAUGGUUCAAAAGUGAUAGACGGUCUUGCUGUCACUUAUAGAUGGAUCCGCGCUGCAUUAGCUAGUUGGUAAGGUAACGGCUUACCAAGGCAACGAUGCAUAGCCGACCUGAGAGGGUGAUCGGCCACACUGGAACUGAGACACGGUCCAGACUCCUACGGGAGGCAGCAGUAGGGAAUCUUCCGCAAUGGGCGAAAGCCUGACGGAGCAACGCCGCGUGAGUGAUGAAGGUCUUCGGAUCGUAAAACUCUGUUAUUAGGGAAGAACAUAUGUGCAAGUAACUGUGCACAUCUUGACGGUACCUAAUCAGAAAGCCACGGCUAACUACGUG
RNAcentral lists this ribosomal RNA (497 nucleotides) under uncultured bacterium. Its description in RNAcentral is "partial 16S ribosomal RNA". It matches the Rfam family "Bacterial small subunit ribosomal RNA", at positions 28 to 507 of the family's 1533-position model. The record is from RNAcentral.